UUUUUUGUUGUUCGCCUAUACCUACAAAUAAGAACAGAGUGAGCUGCAUAAAAAAAUCAACUUUUUCCAUUUUAGUUUCAUCCAUUUUGUUUUUGCACUUGGCAACAUAGUGAACCAUUGGGAGAGAGAAGAUCACGACGACAAUGAAACAAGUGAGCUGCACUUAAAAAAAAAUUCUUCAAUGCACGUUUUCGAGAGCGCUGCAAUUUGUACAUCUCUAGACCACGAGACGGGGCAAACAAACUGCAAAGAUCCUCUUUUUAAUCCACAAUAGAAACACACAAAUCACAAUGACGAGGGACUUAAAAAUUAAUGCACAUUUUUGUCCGUGAUAUGCAAGCCAGCGCCGGCGCACUGCAUGUCCAGCCCCCACAGCACUGCAUCUGUGCACCCAUGGGUUCCAGCCAAAAUCUGAAAAGCGGAGAAAUGUCAACCGUGAGCAAAAUACACAUAAAAACCACCAUCUUCCUGCACCCCAUCUUCAAAAUACACACAAAAAUGGAACAAGUGGGCUGCAUCACAAGACUACAUUCUUUUGCUUUUUUCCUUGUGUGAAUGCAGUGAACCACAAGACUCCCUCAAGUGGGCUGCACCAACCCAUCUACCAUGGCGAACUGCAAGCAUGAGCUACCACCUUUUCAUAUCAAAAAAACUGCAAGCAGGAGCUAGUGAACCUCAUGCCCGAUGAACUAAACAAAGAUUUUAGUGUACUACAUUAGUAAAUGUAUUGCACUGAAUUCCCCAGAAUCAACAGCGAAAAUCUGAAAAAAAAAUGCAAGCCCUGGCGAGCUGCACGCCCGUUUUCACUGCAUCCCUGCAAAAUCUGAAAAAAAUGCCGAUGCCUAUGGAGGAACUGCAUGAGGGCGCGUGGUGCACUGCUCGAGGUAUCCAGAUGCACUGCAAUGGCACGGUAAGGGACCUCGCAAACGAGCGCACGCCUGAAGGGAGUCGUCCGCGCUGGGGAUGGUGUGGUCGCGCCGGCGUGCACCAGCACCGAACCAAAUCACGCAUGCCGCCGAGCUGCACGGCGACGGUCGCCGGACUGCAGAGGGGAGAUGGUGUUGUUGAAACACAUCAGUCCAAAAGAGGAGAUCACGGGGUAGGAAUUGGAUCCGAGGCGGAGAUGCUCAUCAGAGGCCUACCGGAGAGGUGAGAUGGAGGACACCUGGUCUCCUCCUCGGCCCCUGGUGGCGGACAGGUGUGCGACGGGCACCGGUGGUUGUCCGGAUCCCGGCGGUGAUGGCCAGAGACGAGGACGAC
RNAcentral lists this long non-coding RNA (1260 nucleotides) under Triticum aestivum (bread wheat). RNAcentral's name for it is "long non-coding RNA (TAES_LNC016098)". Lineage: Eukaryota; Viridiplantae; Streptophyta; Magnoliopsida; Poales; Poaceae. The record is from RNAcentral.